This 452-nucleotide ribosomal RNA is filed under the name uncultured bacterium. RNAcentral describes it as "partial 16S ribosomal RNA". It matches the Rfam family "Bacterial small subunit ribosomal RNA", at positions 355 to 799 of the family's 1533-position model. The record is from RNAcentral.
UAGGGAAUCUUCCACAAUGGACGCAAGUCUGAUGGAGCAACGCCGCGUGAGUGAAGAAGGCUUUCGGGUCGUAAAACUCUGUUAUUGAAGAAGAACGUGUGUGACAGUAACUGGUCAUGCAGUGACGGUAUUCAAUCAGAAAGUCACGGCUAACUACGUGCCAGCAGCCGCGGUAAUACGUAGGUGGCAAGCGUUGUCCGGAUUUAUUGGGCGUAAAGCGAGUGCAGGCGGUCUUUUAAGUCUGAUGUGAAAGCCUUCGGCUUAACCGAAGAAGGGCAUCGGAAACUGGGAGACUUGAGUGCAGAAGAGGAGAGUGGAACUCCAUGUGUAGCGGUGAAAUGCGUAGAUGUAUGGAAGAACACCAGUGGCGAAGGCGGCUCUCUGGUCUGUAACUGACGCUGAGGCUCGAAAGCGUGGGUAGCAAACAGGAUUAGAUACCCUGGUAGUCCACG